AUGGUUUAGGUAAAUGUUUCAUGAUAAGAAUUUCAUGUCUUUUGUAUUAAAGAAUUAAAUGGAUGAAAUAUGAAGUUUUAUUAAAAGAAAAAGGGGUGAAAAGAACAAAGUUUUGUCCAUCUUUGUUCAUCAUAGCUGAAAGUUAGAGAAGAGAAAGGAGAGGAGAAAGCUCUUGAGUAUUCGGUCAUUAGGAGGAGGAAAAUUGAAGGAAAUCCCCAACCAUAGUGGGCUUGGAGCUGUGAGGGAAUUCGGAGUGGCCACCCGUUCUGAAAGUUUGAUUUUAUUCUGGUGACAUGGACAUCUUUUUAUUUACGUUUGAAGUUUUUGGGCUUUUAAAUGUAAUAAGGCCGCUUAAUUAUUUUUGAUGGUUUUAAUAUGUAUUACUAAGAUAGGUAUUACUUAUUUUAACUGUUGAAAUUGGAUAGCUUUAGGGCGCGUUUGCAAAAAACAACAAUUGAUUUCAAAAUAACACGACAACAAGCAAAGCUUCCGCAAUGAAA
Long non-coding RNA from Gossypium arboreum, 500 nucleotides. RefSeq lists it as uncharacterized. NCBI's taxonomy places the organism in Eukaryota, Viridiplantae, Streptophyta, Magnoliopsida, Malvales, Malvaceae. The record is from RefSeq and is a predicted model, not a curated record. The transcript has 2 exons.